RNAcentral lists this long non-coding RNA (205 nucleotides) under Elaeis guineensis (African oil palm). RNAcentral describes it as "long non-coding RNA (EGUI_LNC004351)". The record is from RNAcentral. Lineage: Eukaryota; Viridiplantae; Streptophyta; Magnoliopsida; Arecales; Arecaceae.
ACUAUUGCUACUAGUAAAGAAGUGAUGGCAAGCACUCAAGAUAUGUCAGAUAACAGUGAUUCUCAAAAUGAGCUUCAUCUUGAUGAUGUUACUGUAGAUGGAGAGUCUAGUGGUUUAAGAAACCAUCAUCGACCAAGAGAUCCAAUCUCUACUGAGAGUGUCCAUUGUGUGAGGAGUCAAUCAAAAGUUUUAGAGUUAGCAGAUG